This 64-nucleotide transfer RNA is filed under the name Sinanodonta woodiana. RNAcentral describes it as "tRNA-Tyr". Lineage: Eukaryota; Metazoa; Mollusca; Bivalvia; Unionida; Unionidae. The record is from RNAcentral.
GCAAAAGUGGCCGAAUAUUAGGCAAAAGACUGUAAAUCUUUCAAUGGCCAAAAGCCCAUUGCAA